AGCCUUUUAAAUCAUAUUCCUGAGGGAAUUUGAGAAAAUAAUUCUGUUAAAAAAAUGAACUGCUCUGUUAUAAUUUCACAUUCAGGCUGACCCAAGCUGAUGUCAACCAUUCACUCAACUACCCCUCCACCAUGACCCCUCUCUGACCCCCAUGAAGUUUCUCCAGCUCUGAGGAGGAAAACCAAGAGUUACUGAAAAGCAAUCAUGGAUUAUGAAUCAAAGUGGCUGCAGUCAUGAGAAACUGAAUCAUAACAACUCAGCCUCAGUUACCUCAUCUGUAAGAUGAAGCCAAUCACACCAACCUCUUAAAUUCAUUGUGAAGAUUGUGAUAGUGAAUAAAAAGCAGAGCAGUGGGGGUUCUUCAUUCUA
Molecule: non-coding RNA, 369 nt
Organism: Marmota flaviventris (yellow-bellied marmot)
Lineage: Eukaryota; Metazoa; Chordata; Mammalia; Rodentia; Sciuridae
Source: RefSeq, a predicted model, not a curated record